This 21-nucleotide non-coding RNA is filed under the name Arabidopsis thaliana (thale cress). The record is from RNAcentral. Lineage: Eukaryota; Viridiplantae; Streptophyta; Magnoliopsida; Brassicales; Brassicaceae.
CCGACCAGGACGCAUCGCCGG